GAGCAUGUGGUUUAAUUUGAUGCAACGCGAAGACCUUACCUGGUCUUGACAUCCACAGAACUUAGCAGAGAUGCUUUGGUGCCUUCGGGAACUGUGAGACAGGUGCUGCAUGGCUGUCGUCAGCUCGUGUUGUGAAAUGUUGGGUUAAGUCCCGCAACGAGCGCAACCCUUAUCCUUUGUUGCCAGCGGUUCGGCCGGGAACUCAAAGGAGACUGCCAGUGAUAAACUGGAGGAAGGUGGGGAUGACGUCAAGUCAUCAUGGCCCUUACGACCAGGGCUACACACGUGCUACAAUGGCAUAUACAAAGAGAAGCGACCUCGCGAGAGCAAGCGGACCUCAUAAAGUAUGUCGUAGUCCGGAUUGGAGUCUGCAACUCGACUCCAUGAAGUCGGAAUCGCUAGUAAUCGUAGAUCAGAAUGCUACGGUGAAUACGUUCCCGGGCCUUGUACACACCGCCCGUCACACCAUGGGAGUGGGUUGCUAAAGACUUUC
This 493-nucleotide ribosomal RNA is filed under the name Klebsiella pneumoniae. RNAcentral's name for it is "bacterial SSU rRNA". It matches the Rfam family "Bacterial small subunit ribosomal RNA", at positions 935 to 1432 of the family's 1533-position model. Lineage: Bacteria; Pseudomonadati; Pseudomonadota; Gammaproteobacteria; Enterobacterales; Enterobacteriaceae. The record is from RNAcentral.